AACUUUUAACAAUGGAUCACUUGGCUCUCGCAUCGAAGAAGAACGCAGCGAAAUGCGAUAAGUAAUGUGAAUUGCAGAUUUUCAGUGAAUCAUCGAAUCUUUGAACGCACCUUGCGCUCCUUGGUAUUCCGAGGACCAUGCCUGUUUGAGUGUCAUUAGAUUCUCAACUCCGAUCGAUUUGUUUUGAUCCCGGAGCUUGGAUGUGGAGUGUGCCGGCGUGAGUCGGCUCCUCUCAAAUGCAUCAGCGGAAAUUCAACCUUUGGUUUCUGGAUGUCAGUGUGAUAAUCAUGUUGCGCUGUCGUUCGAACCUCGGAGUCCGGCUUACAAUGGUCUUCGGACAAACCUCAUCGUCAAUUUGACCUCAAAUCAGGUAGGACUACCCGCUGAACUUAAGCAUAUCAAUAAGCGGAGGCU
Molecule: unclassified non-coding RNA, 414 nt
Filed under: uncultured Atheliaceae
Lineage: Eukaryota; Fungi; Basidiomycota; Agaricomycetes; Atheliales; Atheliaceae
Description: sequence contains ITS2
Rfam family: 5.8S ribosomal RNA (bases 1-155)
Source: RNAcentral